UUCCCACAACACCCUGGCAGCUGUCUACCCUCUAGCAACCAGCCACUGAGGUUUCAGCAGCUUCAACAACCUCCAGCUCUGAUCUCUGCCUCCUCAGCUCAGCAGAACGGCUGUGCUUUGCUUGGGCUCCAACUCCUGGUGUGGGUCAGAAAAUUACCUUCAGGCAGAGUUUCAAAGCAGUUAUGGGGCUCGCCUCAUGGGUUUCUCUUCUCUCAUGGAUUGCAUUCUUAUAAUUCUGUUUUCUAUUGCCUAGAAAGGAUUGCCCAGGAUAUUUUGGCUAGUUGUUUAUAGAAGAAGACCUGGUCCUGCUGAUGUUAGAAGCUGAGGUCUCUAAAUUCUUUCUAUACAUUCCUUUUUAUUUUUCUGUUUCUCUUCUUAACCUUAUUGUGUUAAUUUUCUCUUAUUCAUUAUUUUUUCACUUAUUCUUUAAAUUCUCAGAACUAUUUACUUUUAUGUUUUAAUUAAAAAGUUUUCUCUCUGAAUUCUUAUUUUUUAUUUUAGUAAUGAAUAUACAUAUGUAUGUGUAUAUAUAUAUAAUUUUCCAUAUGGAUGGAAACAAAUUCCAUUCAUUUCAACAAACUAUUAAUCAAAACAUAAAGAAAAGGUAUCAUUAUUAAAUGCUUUAAUGUCUAUUCAAUUUUGAAAUUCCUUUUUAAAUAUUUCCGGUCAGUAGUAAUAUAUGUAGAGGUUUCUCUUAUGAGAACAUGGGUAAUAUUUAAGCAAACAGUACUCUUUAUGAGGUUUUCCUUUAGCCUGGUUUCUUCUAACUAAUGGCAAUAAAAUUAUCAUUACAGUAUGCUGGCAGGCUGUUUCUAGUCCCCAGUGGCAUGCUUCAGAAGCCUUGGUGAGUUUUAUGUAUCUGGUAUAGCCAAGUGAGUCAUCUUCUGUAAUAUAUUCAGUGUCUGCUGGCCUCGGGACUGAGAGUCUGCUGAUGAACCUUGGCCUCUUGGUAACAGAAAUCAGCCUUUGAAUUAAGAGUUAUUAAUGACAUGCAUUAAGCAUCGGUUUCCAUUUCCUCCAGAGCGGAGAAAUCUCCUGGACAAGUUGCACAGUGUAUCUCAUUUACUGUGUUAAUUGUCUUUUAAUAAUGAUGCCUUUCUUUUUGUUGUGUUCACAAAUUUGAGUCAUUGUGUUCUGUGUUACAAAUAAAAGACACCACAGUUAAGAACUGUGAUAGAACUGGGAUAAAGGAAACACAUGACUUAAAAUAAGUAAUGCCAUCAUCAACUAACCAUCACUUGAUGGUAAAAUAAAUAGGUGUCCGGUUCUUCCUGGCUGAUUUAGGGUCUAGAAAACACAACUUGGCAUUGAAGUCUCUCCGAAAAGUCGAAGAAUGAGCAAAGGCAAUUAGAUCUGUCUUUUCUUACUCUAUAGGAUCAUUUUUGUCUGUUUUUUUCAGUUUAUUUUUCUUUGUUUUUAUUAGUUCUGUUAUCAUCAUCCAUACCAUCUAAUUUAUAUUAGAUGCAUCUUUAGGUUUUUAUUUUAACAAGUAAAAAAAUUCUUCUGACUCAUGGACUUGGAGAACAGACUUGUGGUUGCCAAGGGAGUGGGGGAGUGGGAUGGACUGGGAAUCUGAGGUUAAUAGAUGCAAACUAUUGCCUUUGGAAUGGAUAAGCAAUGAGAUCCCGAUGGAUAGCACUGGGAACUAUAUCUAGUCACUUGUGAUGGAGCAUGGUGGAGGAUAAAAUGAGAAAGUGAAUGUAUAUGUAUGUGUGUGUAACUAGGUCACUUUGCUGUACAGUAAAAAAUUGACAGUACACUGUAAGCCAACUAUAAUGGGAAAAAUAAAAAUCACUAAAAAAAUUUUAGGACAAAAAAAUCCUUCUGAAUGGAGGAUCACAUUUUUUUUUUAAUAGUUAUUCCCCAAUACAAUUUUUUUCCUACUGUACAGCAUGGGAGGGUCACCCUUGUAUUAGCACUCGCCCUUCACACACUGUAAGGAGUUCUUUUUUUUUUUUUUUUGUCUUUUUGCUAUUUCUUUGGCCACUCCCACGGCAUAUAGAGAUUCCCAGGCUAGGGGUCUAAUCGGAGCCGCAGCCACCAGCCUACACCAGAGCCACAGCAACGCGUGAUCCGAGCCACGUCUGCAACCUGCACCACAGCUCACGGCAACGCCGGAUCCUUAACCCACUGAGCAAGGGCAGGGACUGAACUCGCAACCUCAUGGUUCCUAGUCGGAUUUGUUAACCACUGCGCCACGACGGGAACUCCAGGAGUUCUUACUGUAUAUUCCUGUCUUCUUCCUUCCCUCAUCCUAACCUCUCCCCAAGGAGGUCAUCACUUGACUCCAAUGUCUUUGAUUCAGGCUGGGGAUAGAGAUCUUGGUGGUGACCUCUACAAGGCUCUGUCAUGUUCAGGAAAAUGAUGUCUACUUUUGCUCUGGCCUCUGGAAAUCUCUGGCCUUUCAUACAGUUGAGUAACGUGUGGUGAGGAGGCCUCAUGAAAAAUAAUGUUUAAAAUAAACUCAUUGUAGGUUAUUUGGGGGUAGCAUCCCAAAGAUUGGGCUGAUGUCUUGGGGGGAAGUCUUGAGUACUGUAAUUUGGAUGACACUUGCCUUCUUUGCAAAAACAUCUUUAAAGUUGAGGUCUUUUCCUUUAUCAGAUAUAUUUUUAUUUUUUUAUUUUUUAUUACUCAAUGAAUUUAUUAUAUUUGUAGUUGUACAAUGAUCAUCACAGUCCAAUUUUAUAGGAUUUCCAUCCCACAACCCCAGCACAUAUAUUUUUAAAUGCUGGAUGUUUUCUGAGACCUGGGUUUUUUGGGGUUUUUUUUGUUUUUUUUUUAACAAAGUGAAUCAAGUGAAAAUAGACUACAGACACUGAAGUUUUGAUUGAGGGUAGGCAGUGAGUCAUACAUUCUAGAGGUUAGAAACUCUAAGUAGAUACUUGGACUUGGCUUCUUUGAGUUGCUGGCUGGCCUCACUCCAUUUCAAUGGAAACAGUUGUGGUUAGUCUAAUACUAUAAAGGGACAUUUCUGCAUUUCCUUAAUAACAUAUUUUGGGGAAAUAAUUGGUGAAUUUUUGCAAAGUAGAAAUAUGAACCUCCUUAGAUGUUCAGGUAGUUAAACUUAUUCAUCAGGAUCAAAAUUUUUUUUUUUUUUGUCUUUUUAGGGUCGCACCCACAGCAUAUGGAGGUUCCCAGAGUAGGGUGGUCAAAACAGAGCUGUAACCACUGGCCUAUGCCACAGCCACAGCAAUGCUAGAUCCAAGCUGCAUCAGGAUCUAUUUUAACCACCUCAGUGGCAGAAAUAUAGUUAUGAUAAAAACAGUGCUACUCUUUAUUAACAAAUAACAUUGAAAAUGACCUUGUCUGCUCACCAAAUCAGGCGUGUGAUCUGGGGGUCCUCCCCAAUUCCCUUUAUUCUCAUUUUAUUUAUAAAUCAAAGUAAAAUGGUUUUGGUCCUCCAUGGGCAACAGUGGCCCAAGCUGUCUGACAUGACUGAAAUUGUCUCAAUGGCACCUCUUGGUUUGAUUUUUUUUUCCUUUAUGGAUCCAUUGCCCAUCUUUCUGGUCUUGGCUGCAGUCUGAACCAUCUCCAUGCUUUAUAGCACUCAUGAUGUAAGAGAAACAGUGGACUCAGGGCUUCAGUGGGUGAAUUUCUCUGAUGGUAGCCAGGGCUGAGGGUGGGAGCUACAAACACCCUUGGAAUUGACCAGCUGUGGAGCCAGGGUGCAUGGGUGGAUCCAGCCCUUCCCAUGUUGAAGGUAUGUCUGCAUGGCCCCUGGAAGCUGUGUAAACCUGAGAGAAAGGAAAACUAACUGGCAGCUUGGAGCCCAUCCGUCAAAUUCAACCUUCACUGAACUCUGGAUGAUAAUAGGACACCAGUUUUUAGUUUUAUUUGACAUGAGGACAAAUCACUGCUCCAUGUAGAACUAAAAAGUUAUUCUUUUCUUUAAUAUACCAAAAAGCUCUUUAAAUUUCCACAGCAUAUUAUAAAAAUUUAAUAUCUUAGUCUGACAUGACAUGACAUUUUAUUUCAUGGUAAACGAUUUUUAAAUUGCUUUUGGGAAAAAAAAGUUCUCUCCUGAAUCCUCCAUUUCCCUCUUUUGCAAGUAGAAUUCUGUUUUGGGUUAGGCUAAUAGUGAAGGUUUAGAGAGGCACUGCCAGAGCAUCUGUGAUAUGGCUGUGUUCUCUGAUGCCAGUGCUUAGCUGUUGCUAAGGGAGUAUAAGAAAACAGUGGCUACUCAUAUUUUAUUGAACAGGCUGCACAUAAAUUCUGACUCCAACUGGAAGAUUGGGUGCUUUAUUACAACAGAGUGACUUUCUAACCUGGAACUUGAUUUCACAUAUAGUCCAUCACGCUGAUCUCCGUUUUGACAUUCACAGCACAACUUUUUGGGUUAGAAAAAAGUUUAUAUAUUUAGGAUAUACAUUAUACAUGUACAGCCAUCAACCUGUAUCCACAACCCAUUUUAAAGGUUAGAACACAACUAUCAUCAAAGACCCUACAUGUGGUUUCUCAUUUCAUGGCAUCACCUUACUCUCUAUUACAGCUUUACCAUGAAUGCUUGUAUCGCUAAGAAUUAUGUGCUAAGUUUGCAGAUGUUUGAUAUCUAUAAAAAUUGAAUUAUAACCAGCCAUAUAUGUGUGUGUGUAUAUAUAUAUACACACACACAUACACACACACAUAUAUAUAUACAUAUUAUUUUUUUCUUUCUUUUUUCUUUUUAUCUCUUUUCUAGGGUUGUACCUGCGGCAUAUGGAGGUUCCCAGGCUAGGGGUCCAAUCGGAGCUGUAGCCGCCAGCCUUUGCCAGCCACAGCAACACCAGAUACAAGCCACGUCUUUGACCUACACCACAGCUCACAGCAACACCGGAUCCUUAACCCACUGAGUGAGGCCAGGGAUCAAACCCACAACCUCAUGAUUCCUAGUCGGAUUCGUCAACCACUGAGCCACUACCGGAACUCCUGUAUUCUUUUUUCAUAUUACCUUCCAUCAUGUGCUGUCCCAAGAGAUUAUAUAUAGUUCCCUGUGCUAUACAGCAGGACCUCAUUGCUUAUCUAUUCUAAAUGUAAUAGUUUGCAUCUACCAACUCCAAACUCUCUGUCUAUUCCACUCCCUCCUACCUCCCCCCUUGCAACCACAGGUCUCUUUUCUACGUCUGUGAGUCUAUUUCUGUUUUGUAGAUAGGUUCAUUUGUGCCAUAUUUUAGAUUCUACACAAAAUGAUAUAUGGUAUUUGUCUUCCUCUUUCUGACUUACUUCAUUUAGUAUGAGAAUCUCUAGUUGCAUCCAUGUUGCUGCAAAUGGCAUUAUUUUUUCUUUUUUAUGGCUGAGUAGUAUUCCAUUGUGUAUAUGUGCCAUAUCAUCUUAAUCCAUUCUUCUGUCGAUGGACAUUUAGAUUGUUCCAUGUUUUAGCUAUUGUGAAUAGUGCUGCAGUGAACUCUGGGAUGGAUGUAUCUUUUUGAAUUACAGUGUUGUCUGGAUAUAUGCCCAGGAGUGAGAUUUCUGGGUCAUAUGGUAGUUCUAUAUUUAGUUUUCUGAGGAACCUCUGUAUUAUUUUCCAUAGUGGUUGUACCAGUUUACAUUCCCACCAACAGUGUAGAUGGGUUCCCUCUUCUCCACACCCUCCUCAGUAUUUGUUAUUUAUAGACUUAUUAAUGAUGGUCAUUCUGGAUACUAUCAGCAGUUUUAAUUACUGCCAGUUUGGUAAGUGUCAAGUGAUAUCUCAUCUGGGUUUUAUCUUGUGUUUUUCUAAUUGCUAAUGAAAUUGGAGCAUCUUUUUGUAUGUCUGACUUGAAUCUUCAAGUCAAUUUUUGGACUAACAGAGAAGAGAUGUCAAAGAGGAAACAGAGCAAGAACUCUAUAUCUAAACCUUCACUCUGCAACUGUAACUCUGUAAUUGACCAUAACUCUGGCAACUUUCUUUCCCCUGGUGAAGCAGUUUAAAUACAUCAAAUGAACACUGCCCUUAAAUCCGCUGUUGAAUGACUUCUGUCCUUCUGAUGCUGCUCAUAGGAUUUGAAUGGAAGAAGUUAACUGGUCUACCAGCCAGGCCAUGAGAAAGCUCAGAGGACCAGAGUCUACCUUUUUGUUUUGUUUUUUGUUUUGUUUUGUUUUGUUUUGUUUUUUUUUUUGGUCUUUUUGCCUUUUUUUCUAGGGCCGCUCCCACGGCAUAUGGAGGUUCCCAGGCUAGGGGUCCAGUCGUAGCUGUAGCUGACAGCCUGCACCAGAGCCACAGCAACGGGGGAUCUGAGCCGUGUCUGCAACCUACACCACAGCUCACGACAAUACCGGAUCCUUAACCCACCGAGUAAGGCCAGGGAUCGAACCUGCAACCUCAUGGUUCCUAGUCAGAUUUGUUAACCACUGAGCCACGACGGGAACUCCCCAGAGUCUACCUUUUUGGACUGAGAGAAGCCUGUGAAUCUGUAUGUAUGUGUGAAACACAUUCUUUUUUACAAGAAAACAAAUCCACACUUUUCUUUGUCUUCUUUUCAAUAAGUUGAAAUCUUUGAGGGCUACAGCAUCACAUAGAUUCUUUGUCCAACGGCCUUAGCAAAUGCUUCAGAAUUUGCUACCAACCACAUCACUAUUUCCAUGAGCAUGAGUUACCUUUCCCCAGAUUAUGUUGGCCUUGUUUGAUUUGCCAUUAGGAGUUACUGUAAAACACAUACAUGCAACCACAUGUACAAAUGCCACAUUCAAUAAGACAAAAAUUAAAUUUGCUGGACACAAUAUAGUUUGAUAUUUCCACUCUAAGUUAUUCUAGUCCUUUCUCUUUCUCUCCUUCUUUCUUUCCUUUCUUUCAUUCCUUCUUCCCUUCUUUUCUUCUUUCUUUCCUUCCUUCCUCCCUCUUUCUCUUUCCUUCCGUCCUUUGUUCCUUUCGUUGUUCCUGCUUGGCACCAGCUAAGUGAAUUUCACCAUAUAGAAUUGUGCUGGUUCUCCAUGGGGAAAAUGGAGCUUCCAGAAAAUGUUUCAGAUAUUUGUGAGGGUAUUCAUAGUAUUUAUUGGCUAGGAACUUGACUAAAAAUGUCUUUCUAGCCCUGGGGUUUAGAGGCUGGUAUGUGGUGCUUCUCUUAUAUUAAAUGAAGGAGAAAUGAAUUUUAUACACAAUCAGCCAUGUAUCUUUGGAUUAUCAAGAGUUGACGGGCAGUCCCCAUCGUGAUGCAGUGGAAACAUGUUUUACUAGUAUCCAUGAGGAUGCAGGUUCAAUCCCUGGCCUCACUCAAUGGGUUGGGAAUCCAGCAUUGCCAUGAGCUAUGGUGCAGGUCACAGAUGUGGCUUGGAUCUAGUGUUGCUGUGGCUGUGGUGUAGGCCAGCAACUGUAGCUCCAAUUCAUCCUGGGAACUUCCAUAUGCCAUGGGUGUAUGCCUGAAAAGCAAAAAAAAAAAAAAAA
RNAcentral lists this long non-coding RNA (7336 nucleotides) under Sus scrofa (pig). RNAcentral describes it as "lncRNA (ENSSSCG00065031269.1)". The record is from RNAcentral. Lineage: Eukaryota; Metazoa; Chordata; Mammalia; Artiodactyla; Suidae.